GGACCGCUUCUGGACGCGGGUCCAUUACCUGUGAAGGCCAUCAGGGACCAAGCCCGGAAACAGUUGGUCGAUGCGCUGGAUUCGAGACGGGGGAAGAAGGUGCUU
This 105-nucleotide small RNA is filed under the name Tetraselmis chui. RNAcentral describes it as "Tetraselmis chuii partial Betaproteobacteria transfer-messenger RNA". The record is from RNAcentral. Lineage: Eukaryota; Viridiplantae; Chlorophyta; Chlorodendrophyceae; Chlorodendrales; Chlorodendraceae.